AGCAGCCGCGGUAAUUCCAGCUCCAAUAGCGUAUAUUAAAGUUGUUGCAGUUAAAAAGCUCGUAGUUGAAUUUCGGGAUCAAUAUGUUGGUCGUGCCUUGGUACGUACUAAUUUAUUGGUUUCUUCCUUCUGACGAACCAUGAUGUCAUUAAUUUGGUGUCUUGGGGAAUCAGGACUGUUACUUUGAAAAAAUUAGAGUGUUUAAAGCAGGCUCACGCUUGAAUACAUUAGCAUGGAAUAAUGAAAUAGGACGUUUGAUUCUAUUUUGUUGGUUUCUAGGAUCGACGUAAUGAUUAAUAGGGAUAGUUGGG
This 311-nucleotide ribosomal RNA is filed under the name uncultured Glomus. RNAcentral describes it as "SSU rRNA". It matches the Rfam family "Eukaryotic small subunit ribosomal RNA", at positions 569 to 886 of the family's 1831-position model. The record is from RNAcentral. Lineage: Eukaryota; Fungi; Glomeromycota; Glomeromycetes; Glomerales; Glomeraceae.